GAUGAACGCUGACAGAAUGCUUAACACAUGCAAGUCUUUGGCGAAGCUGUGCUUGCACAGCCUAGCCAAGGCGGACGGGUGAGUAACGCGUAAGGAACUUGCCCUGCAGUCAGGGAUAACAGACGGAAACGACUGAUAAGACCUGGUAAAGUCAGGCGGACUCAUGUCCAGCCUGAUGAAAAGAGAUGCUGCAGGAGAGCCUUGCGUCCUAUUAGCUUGUUGGUGGGGUAACGGCCCACCAAGGCGAUGAUAGGUAGCCGGCCUGAGAGGGUGGACGGCCACAAGGGGACUGAGAUACGGCCCUUACUCCUACGGGAGGCAGCAGUGGGGAAUAUUGGACAAUGGGGGCAACCCUGAUCCAGCAAUGCUGUGUGCACGAUGAAGGUUUUCGGAUUGUAAAGUGCUUUCAGCAGGGAAGAAAAAAUGACGGUACCUGCAGAAGAAGCGACGGCUAAAUACGUG
This 462-nucleotide ribosomal RNA is filed under the name uncultured bacterium. RNAcentral's name for it is "partial 16S ribosomal RNA". It matches the Rfam family "Bacterial small subunit ribosomal RNA", at positions 28 to 507 of the family's 1533-position model. The record is from RNAcentral.